GCAGAGAUAGUAUAGUGGCAGUACUCCACGUUGUGGCCGUGAUGGCCCCGGUUCGAUUCCGGGUCUCUGCA
This is a transfer RNA of Batrachochytrium dendrobatidis JAM81, 71 nucleotides long. It matches the Rfam family "tRNA". Rfam says of the family: Transfer RNA (tRNA) molecules are approximately 80 nucleotides in length. Their secondary structure includes four short double-helical elements and three loops (D, anti-codon, and T loops). NCBI's taxonomy places the organism in Eukaryota, Fungi, Chytridiomycota, Chytridiomycetes, Rhizophydiales. The record is from Rfam.